RNAcentral lists this ribosomal RNA (468 nucleotides) under uncultured bacterium. RNAcentral describes it as "partial 16S ribosomal RNA". It matches the Rfam family "Bacterial small subunit ribosomal RNA", at positions 28 to 507 of the family's 1533-position model. The record is from RNAcentral.
GACGAACGCUGGCGGCGUGCUUAACACAUGCAAGUCGAACGGAAAGGCCCUGCGUUUGUUGCGUUCUCGAGUGGCGAACGGGUGUGUAACACGCGUGUAACCUGCCCUUGACUUUGGGAUAACUUCAGGAAACUGGGGCUAAUACCGGAUAGGAGCUCCUGCUGCACGGUGGGGGUUGGAAAGUUUCGGCGGUGGGGGAUGGACUCGCGGGUUAUCAGCUUGUUGGUCGGGUAGUGGCUUACCAAGCCUUUGACGGGUAGCCGGCCUGAGAGGGUGACCGGCCACAUGGGGACUGAGAUACGGACCAGACUCCUACGGGAGGCAGCAGUGGGGAAUCUUGCAGAAUGGGCGGAAGCCUGAUGCAGAAACGCCGCGUGCGGGAUGACGGCCUUCGGGUUGUAAACCGCUUUCGCCUGUGACGAAGCGUGCGUGACGGUAAUGGGUAAAGAAGCACCGGCUAACUACGUG